RNAcentral lists this ribosomal RNA (298 nucleotides) under uncultured bacterium. RNAcentral's name for it is "partial 16S ribosomal RNA". It matches the Rfam family "Bacterial small subunit ribosomal RNA", at positions 333 to 650 of the family's 1533-position model. The record is from RNAcentral.
AUGAACCUAGGGGGCAGCAGUGGGGAAUAUUGCACAAUGGGGGGAACCCUGAUGCAGCGACGCCGCGUGAGCGAAGAAGUAUCUCGGUAUGUAAAGCUCUAUCAGCAGGGAAGAAAAUGACGGUACCUGACUAAGAAGCUCCGGCUAAAUACGUGCCAGCAGCCGCGGUAAUACGUAUGGAGCAAGCGUUAUCCGGAUUUACUGGGUGUAAGGGGAGCGCAGGCGGCGCGCCAAGUCUGGUGUGAAACCCCGGGGCUCAACCCCGGGCCUGCAUUGGAACCUGUCGGGCUGGAGUGUC